Non-coding RNA from Rattus norvegicus (Norway rat), 69 nucleotides. The record is from Rfam. NCBI's taxonomy places the organism in Eukaryota, Metazoa, Chordata, Mammalia, Rodentia, Muridae.
GGGGAUUUAGCUCAGUGGCAGAGCGCUUGCCUAGCAAGCGCAAGGCCCUGGGUUCGGUUCCCAGCUCCG